UUAUGGCUUCCAGAGACACCUUCCUGAGAGAAGGGCUUAUGCUGAUGUGUUCCUCCUGCCUUCCACUGCGUGGAUGGCUCUACAAAGGGCCAGGGCGCAGGCAGUGUGGACAACACACUGACCCCGGUGCUGUGGGAGUGGGCACUGUUGGGAGGCAGCGUGUUCCAGGCAGGUGCAGAGGUGGGAGGCAGCAUCUUCCCAGCUAGAUGUCCCCAGGUGAGGGGCCUCAUCGCCCACCCCCAGCGCUGUCCCUACAGGUGCAGCAGGAGCGGGACGAGCUCUAUGGGAAGUUCACCGCAGCCAUCCAGGAGGUGCAGCAGAAGACAGGGUUCAAGAACCUCGUGCUAGAACGCAAGCUGCAGGCUCUGAGCGCCGCUGUGGAGAAGAAGGAGGUGCAGUUCAACGAGGUCCUGGCUGCCUCUAACCUGGACCCUGCAGCCCUGACGCUGGUGUCCCGCAAGCUGGAGGAUGUUCUUGAAUCGAAGAACAGCACCAUCCAGGACCUGCAGUAUGAGCUGGCCCGGGUCUGUAAGGCCCAUAACGACCUGCCCUGUCUCCACAGGCCCAUAACGACCUGCCCUGUCUCCACAGGCCCAUAACGACCUGCUGCGCACGUAUGAGGCAAAGCUGCUGGCCUUCGGGAUCCCUCUGGACAACGUGGGCUUCACGCCCUUGGAAACAGCUGUGAUCGGACAGACGCUGGGCCAGGGCCCCGCAGGACUGGUGGGCACCCCGACGUAGCUGCCCCCCUGGGGGGCCACAGCCCAGAGAACCAGCCUAGGAACACUCUUGGGAUGACACCCCUUAUUACACCAAGGACAGCAAGUUUUUUAGAUUUUAUCAUCAGCAAAUGAAAGCUUUUCACAUGUU
This 870-nucleotide small RNA is filed under the name Pan troglodytes (chimpanzee). RNAcentral's name for it is "retained intron". Lineage: Eukaryota; Metazoa; Chordata; Mammalia; Primates; Hominidae. The record is from RNAcentral.